This 1287-nucleotide ribosomal RNA is filed under the name metagenome. RNAcentral's name for it is "bacterial SSU rRNA". It matches the Rfam family "Bacterial small subunit ribosomal RNA", at positions 242 to 1520 of the family's 1533-position model. The record is from RNAcentral.
UAGCUAGUUGGUGAGGUAAAGGCUUACCAAGGCGACGAUCUGUAGCGGGUCUGAGAGGAUGAUCCGCCACACUGGAACUGAGACACGGUCCAGACUCCUACGGGAGGCAGCAGUGGGGAAUUUUGGACAAUGGGGGCAACCCUGAUCCAGCCAUGCCGCGUGAGUGAAGAAGGCCUUCGGGUUGUAAAGCUCUUUCGGCCGGGAAGAAAUCGCAUGGGCCAAUACCCUGUGUGGAUGACGGUACCGGAAUAAGAAGCACCGGCUAACUACGUGCCAGCAGCCGCGGUAAUACGUAGGGUGCGAGCGUUAAUCGGAAUUACUGGGCGUAAAGCGUGCGCAGGCGGUUUUGUAAGACAGGCGUGAAAUCCCCGGGCUUAACCUGGGAACUGCGUUUGUGACUGCAAGGCUAGAGUACGGCAGAGGGGGGUGGAAUUCCACGUGUAGCGGUGAAAUGCGUAGAGAUGUGGAGGAACACCAAUGGCGAAGGCAGCCCCCUGGGUCGAUACUGACGCUCAUGCACGAAAGCGUGGGUAGCAAACAGGAUUAGAUACCCUGGUAGUCCACGCCCUAAACUAUGUCAACUAGGUGUUGGGUGGGUAAAACCAUUUAGUACCGUAGCUAACGCGUGAAGUUGACCGCCUGGGGAGUACGGCCGCAAGGUUAAAACUCAAAGGAAUUGACGGGGACCCGCACAAGCGGUGGAUGAUGUGGAUUAAUUCGAUGCAACGCGAAAAACCUUACCUACCCUUGACAUGCCAGGAACUUGCCAGAGAUGGCUUGGUGCCCGAAAGGGAGCCUGGACACAGGUGCUGCAUGGCUGUCGUCAGCUCGUGUCGUGAGAUGUUGGGUUAAGUCCCGCAACGAGCGCAACCCUUGUCGUUAAUUGCCAUCAUUUAGUUGGGCACUUUAACGAGACUGCCGGUGACAAACCGGAGGAAGGUGGGGAUGACGUCAAGUCCUCAUGGCCCUUAUGGGUAGGGCUUCACACGUCAUACAAUGGUCGGUACAAAGGGUUGCCAAGCCGCGAGGCGGAGCCAAUCCCAGAAAGCCGAUCGUAGUCCGGAUUGCAGGCUGCAACUCGCCUGCAUGAAGUCGGAAUCGCUAGUAAUCGUGGAUCAGCAUGUCACGGUGAAUACGUUCCCGGGUCUUGUACACACCGCCCGUCACACCAUGGGAGCGGGUUCCGCCAGAAGUAGGUAGCCUAACCGCAAGGGGGGCGCUUACCACGGCGGGGUUCGUGACUGGGGCGAAGUCGUAACAAGGUAGCCGUAGGGGAACCUGCGGCUG